Molecule: ribosomal RNA, 301 nt
Filed under: uncultured bacterium
Lineage: Bacteria
Description: partial 16S ribosomal RNA
Rfam family: Bacterial small subunit ribosomal RNA
Source: RNAcentral
CAGCCGCCACGGUAAUACGAGGGGGGCAAGCGUUGUUCGGAGUUAUUGGGCGUAAAGGGUGCGUAAGCGGUCGGAUAAGUCUGAUGUGAAAUCUAUGGGCUCAACCCAUAGUCUGCAUCGGAAACUGUCAGGCUUGAGGAUGGGAGAGGUGAGUGGAGUUUCCGGUGUAGCGGUGAAAUGCGUAGAGAUCGGGAGGAACAUCAGUGGCGAAGGCGGCCAUCUGGGACAACACUGACGCUGAGGCACGAAAGCGUGGGGAGCAAACAGGAUUAGAUACCCGCGUAGUCCCUGUCUCUUAUAC